CGAGGUGGAGGCGGGUGAGUGGAGGAGCCAGGAGGCGCUGGUGAUGACAGUGGUGGCGGAGGUGGGUGGGCAGCAGGACAGCCCUGGCCCUGAGGAAGGCGGCUUGACCGCAUUUUUAAAGUGAGCUGAGCUCACACACCACACCUGCCUGGCAUGGUCACUGCCACUCAGCCUGGCCUGGAAGCUCCAAGCAGAAGACUCAUGCCUUCCUGGGAGGCCUCACGGUCACUUCUCUGCUCCACUCUGCUUGGGGCCUGCCUGCCUGCUUUCAGCUCAGUCAUUCUAGGCUCAGGCUGUUGCUAAGGACGCCUGAUGCCAAGGCCAUCAUGUGACCAACAGGAAGCAAGCAAACACAAAUAAGAAGGGACGUGACUGCAUGCCACUAUAGUUAUAAGCCACGCUGGGAUGAGCCUGUCUUGGGGAAAGCAGCUCGCUCACCCAGGUCGGUCCCACUGCCACGCCGCAAGAGAUCAUGUAGGCUGGGAUUUCGCUGCAUGUGCCCUGAACAGCUGCAAUCAACAGUGGUGCGGGCCUGGACAUUAGGAUAACAUGAUCUGGAGGCCCCAGGGGCUGACUUCUGAACCAGACUUCUGCCCAGAAGUCUGGGGGAAAUGGUGCCUCUGAAGAUAACUGAAUAAGGCUUCACAGUAGUCCUCCCUAGAGCUUGCCAAAGGCUCUGGAGAGCCACAACAGACUCACCCCCCACCUUGGGAAAACCACAAGUCACAGAAAACAUGCCCCUGGCUAUAACAAGCAAUUAGUGGUCCCUUAUGUAGUGCUAGAGCAACCUGUCUCAGCUUCAGGAAAGGCAGCAUAUAAUCUCCUAGAGGGUCUCAUCAUUUGUCAACAAACCACAGUUCCCCAAGUUCAUAUGUAAAUAUAGAACUAGUGUUUUUUCUUAAAUGAAAGCAGAAGCCACUCUUGUUUAUUUUGUACAGUUUUUGCUCUUUGGAUCUAUGUCCCCAAAUUAAAAAGAGAUGCUACUCUUCUUGUUUCUACCAACACGGUAAUAGUGUUUCUACUAAGGACAGAGAAAAGAAACCCCUAAUUGCUUUUACUGCUUCUUAUCAGCUACGGCUCCCAGAGGAGAAAAAGAUUCUAUAAUCUUAAAUUAUGUUCCAGGUGAAUGACAAUGUGAUACUCGCUUGUUGAAAUCCCCUUUGCAUAGUUCAUUAUUUCAAAAGGCCCAUGUUUCAACAUGAGAAAUAAAGAUUUGUUCAACACUUUCUUA
Molecule: long non-coding RNA, 1231 nt
Organism: Hemicordylus capensis (graceful crag lizard)
Lineage: Eukaryota; Metazoa; Chordata; Lepidosauria; Squamata; Cordylidae
Exons: 2
Source: RefSeq, a predicted model, not a curated record